GACGAACGCUGGCGGCGUGCCUAAUACAUGCAAGUCGAACGCUUCUUUUUCACCGAACUUCGGUUCAUCGAAAAAGAGGAGUGGCGAACGGGUGAGUAACACGUGGGUAACCUGCCCAUCAGAAGGGGAUAACACUUGGAAACAGGUGCUAAUACCGUAUAAUGCUUUUUCUCGCAUGAGAGCAAGCUGAAAGGCGCUUUUGCGUCACUGAUGGAUGGACCCGCGGUGCAUUAGCUAGUUGGUGAGGUAACGGCUCACCAAGGCCACGAUGCAUAGCCGACCUGAGGGGGUGAUCGGCCACACUGGGACUGAGACACGGCCCAGACUCCUACGGGAGGCAGCAGUAGGGAAUCUUCGGCAAUGGACGAAAGUCUGACCGAGCAACGCCGCGUGAGUGAAGAAGGUUUUCGGAUCGUAAAACUCUGUUGUUAGAGAAGAACAAGGAUGAGAGUAAAAUGUUCAUCCCG
Molecule: ribosomal RNA, 467 nt
Filed under: Enterococcus sp. oral taxon A43
Lineage: Bacteria; Bacillati; Bacillota; Bacilli; Lactobacillales; Enterococcaceae
Description: bacterial SSU rRNA
Rfam family: Bacterial small subunit ribosomal RNA
Source: RNAcentral